GUGGCGUGUAGCUCUCGGCCCCAGUGGAUGCCGCCGGGUGGCGGCGGGAAGGCACGGCUGUUCUCCUCCGGGGCUGCGCGGUCGGAGAGCCCCGAUCAGUAGGAUGAAAAAUGAAUGCGGAUGAAGCUACUACCCUUCCAAAGCUAUGAUUCUCAAGAUAACUAUUAAUUUAGUGGAGGAAAAAUCCACACAUACCCCCAUCCCAAUCCCCCAGAUUUUCUUCAACAUGCCGCUUCUGUUCUUGGAAGAGUUAACUGCCUCGAUUCUGCAUAAGAGUCCCAAACACUGAGAACUAGGGUGUCUUCCCCUUCCUUUCCUUCCAAAAAGGCCAGCAGCCUCAAGCAAGCCAAAGUCCUUUCCUCUUGAAUGCGUAGUCUUGUGAACUCCACUGUCUUCACAAACUCAGCAGCUGGUGGAAGCUCUCUGAAGAACUGAGACAGGAGGUGGCACUGCUCUGACACCAUCCUUUGAAGGUGACAGAGCAUCUCAGGGCUUGGGGGACGCCAGCCGGACUUUGAGAGGAGACAGAAGAGGUGCUUGCAGAGGUAUUUCACAAAGAUCAGGGUCUCGGCCCAAAAGUUGACUUCUGCUUUUUCAAACAGGUAGUCUUCUUCCACCUAAAUCAGAUGAAAAAGCCGAAAGUCAGUCUUACAGGGAAUGGUGACAAGCCCCAGUCCAGACCAAGCAGUACCCUGCCAGAUGCAAGAGGGGUUUCCCUUCCCCCACCUGACAGAGGGUGCACUCUUGCCUGUCAACAUCCAUGUACACACACCACUUGCAGCCUUGAAGGUCACCUUCUAUUUUCACUCACUGUAUUUCUCCACCAGAGAGGAAUUUUUUCCCCAGACUUAACAUGACCUUGGAUAAAGAUGUGUUUGUGGUUCAAAGUCAAGAUACUUUGGGGGAUGGAUGCUGAAAAGGGGACUUCAACAAGGGAGUGGGCUCUAGAGUUUAAGGUGCAGCUGGAAAUUGGAGAGGAGGGAGGAAAGGUCAUCUCUGCAGCAGGCCAGAGAGGAAGGAAUCUCCAAACACAGGACACUAGGCUGUGUCCUGUUUCUAUAACACUGUGAUUCUCAAGGUCCUUUUGUCAGACACUUACCAUGUCUCCAAAUUUCUCAUAAAGAGGGACAAUGCGUUUUGAACCCUUGGCCUGCUGGGGAUGCCAAGAAGGCCAGCUGAGUCAGAUGCUGGUGGCGAUCAAUUUCAGUUCUCAGGAUGCUUUUGCUGCUUGUCUUUGUCCUCAGUUUCCCUAUCUGUGACUGCACCCACCCUGGAGGGGGCUAAUAAUAGUUUUCUUCAAGCAGGAAGUUCCCAGCAAAGAUCCUAAUUCUCUGAAAAUGCUUCACCCUCAGACCUAACUUUGGGAAGCCCCAGGCUAACUCCAAUACUGACUAACAAGCAGUCUCCAUAAUAAAACUCUCCGCAUCCAGGGGCUUCUUUUUUUCUUUUCUUUUCUUUUCUUUUUUUUUUGAGAUGGAGUCUUGCUCUGUUGCCCAGGCUGGAGUGCAGUGGUGCAAUCUCGGCUCACUGCAACCUCCGCCUCCCAGGUUC
RNAcentral lists this long non-coding RNA (1551 nucleotides) under Homo sapiens (human). RNAcentral's name for it is "HSALNT0302124". Lineage: Eukaryota; Metazoa; Chordata; Mammalia; Primates; Hominidae. The record is from RNAcentral.